UCCUUUUUGCGUAUCCAAGCAUCUCCUUUAAAGCUUCAAUCAAUGGAAUAUUUACGUGAAUUUGCUUAAGCGUCUGAAAGAACUUUUCGUACUGCUCCUCAUUUUGAUGCUUGGCCAACCUCUGUGGAAAUGGUUCAGGAGGUCCUUUCUUCCCAAUCACUUGGGACUUUUCUUUCUCAGCUACUAUCUCCACUACCAACUCUUCAACUGCUUCUGCAACUUUCUCUAUCUCCUGCUGAAUAUUCUUUUCUUCCAGAACAGGCCGG
RNAcentral lists this long non-coding RNA (266 nucleotides) under Nicotiana benthamiana. Its description in RNAcentral is "long non-coding RNA (NBEN_LNC024214)". Lineage: Eukaryota; Viridiplantae; Streptophyta; Magnoliopsida; Solanales; Solanaceae. The record is from RNAcentral.